AGCACUUGCCGAGCUCCGAGCGCGCACCUGUCUAGGCGCGAAGAGGCCGAGAGUGGAGAUUCCGCGUUACUCCGCCCCGAGGGCUGCGGCGUUCCCGGCCCUCCCAAGUCCGGACUGGGAGCGUUGGAGGAUGCGGGAGAAGGAUGGAGGGCGGGAGCUGCUGGGCCCGGUUCUCUUUCUUCAGCCUACUCUUUGUUUCAAGCACAGCCCCUUCUAACUGGGCACUUCCUUGUGAGGGACUCGUGUCUGCUUAAAAUGGCGACAGGAAAUCUCACCUGCGCGCCAAUUAGUACAGGGCGAAUUGACAGGGUGGAAACUGGAAACUUAUAUUGACAGGGAUGGUUCCGUCGUGGUGUCUCAUCAAAACAGGACAGGGAAGGUGAAUCAUAAUCCAUAAAGUCACCGGUCUGGAGUCUUUCAAGCCGGCAGAUCGAGUAGUCAGUGUUGCAGUGGUUAUUUCAUCUGGGUCACUGCUGGAGACCACGACAGAGAACAACCCAGCGGAGCUCCUCCUCAUUAUUGACUAAAAUUCUUAUUCCCUUCGAACGGAAGUGGAUGGCCUUAGUUAGUUCAACAGUGGCUUCCUGAGAGCCCAGUUCAGAAGGCGUGUUCUUGACUUACCUGAGAAACCGAAAGGUCCGUUCAAACAAGGGGAAAGACAGGCAGCCUCGCUCAGCGGAUCCGCAGUUUCUUAGACUCGUAUUGCUUCCCUCACCAGCUUAACUAUUUUUGUCCCGGUGCUGUUUUCCUAGUUGGAAGGAAAAAAAAAAGAUUAAUAGUAGACACAUCAGAGUAAUAUUCUGUAGGUCAUCUACUUUCUACCUUUUUGCCUAGAGGAAGUUAAUUUAGUGUGAAAUUACUGAGGUCAAGUAGGGUGCACUUUGCCUGGCACAAAUAAUUCCUAUGAAUCAGGUUGAGCAUCGAAAGGGAACAUAGCUGGAAGAUGGAUUUUCUUCCAAGAGCAGAGAAAUGAAAGUGAUCACAGGAAGGGAUGGAAGGCAUCAAGGAAAGUCAGUAUGUAGAUAAGAAAACUAGGGAAAAAAACAAAAUUGAAAGCCAGGAAUAGCUGAAGCAAGUCAUAAAUGCACAGCACCAGCUCUUAGGGCAGGCCUGGGGUAGGGUCAUCUCCACAUAUUAGAGCCAUCCUCUCACUAGGUGCUACUGGAUGCUAAAAUCUUAUGAGCAGAAGCAGUUUUCAGGUUUUCUGCUGGAAAGGUAGCUUUUGGGGGAAAGAGGUGUUUUGAUUUCAUUUGUCUUCUCACUAUAAGAGUAUUUAAA
RNAcentral lists this long non-coding RNA (1278 nucleotides) under Heterocephalus glaber (naked mole-rat). RNAcentral's name for it is "lncRNA (ENSHGLG00100034259.1)". The record is from RNAcentral. Lineage: Eukaryota; Metazoa; Chordata; Mammalia; Rodentia; Bathyergidae.